Long non-coding RNA from Dermacentor silvarum, 497 nucleotides. RefSeq lists it as uncharacterized. The transcript is spliced from 3 exons. NCBI's taxonomy places the organism in Eukaryota, Metazoa, Arthropoda, Arachnida, Ixodida, Ixodidae. The record is from RefSeq and is a predicted model, not a curated record.
CACUCGGACCGUGCCAGGAGUGUAGCCUGCCCCGUUUCUCCCAGCCCGGUCCUCACGUUGGAACGCCGUGAAGGCGAAUAAGGCGGACAUACUCGUGACUCGCAGGCGAUGACCGUUUGCCAGAGACGCAAAGAUGAGCAGCAGCUUCCCAAGCAGCCGGACCGCGCGGAGAAACGCACCUCGUCUGCAUUCAUCCUCGAAAGUAGUGGAACAGGUUGUAUGAAGCGUACCGGCAUCAGCAACGGCGGCGUCAACGCAAUUUCCGCGGCAUCGCCAGGCACAGCGGUGCAUCGCCCAGAUGCAGCGCUGCGUUCAGUCUGUUUUUAUGGGCUACCGUAUGCAUUCGCCCCGUGGCGCUUUUUUGUAGUCAAACCUACCUACUUGACGGAGAACCUCCACAAGACUGUGCUCCAGUUGCAAGCUGCCUCCACCUUCUACGAUGACGACAUCGAUGUUAUCCAGAAGAUCAAACACGCUCGAUUCGCGCAGUGCGCGGA